This 211-nucleotide unclassified non-coding RNA is filed under the name uncultured fungus. RNAcentral describes it as "sequence contains ITS1, 5.8S rRNA gene". The stretch from base 163 to 211 matches the Rfam family "5.8S ribosomal RNA", at positions 1 to 49 of the family's 154-position model. The record is from RNAcentral. Lineage: Eukaryota; Fungi.
UUUCCGUAGGUGAACCUGCGGAAGGAUCAUUAGUAGAACGGGCGGCCCCGCUCCGGCGGACGCCCACCCUCCUAAUCUCACCCUGUGCACCGUGUCCCCCUUUUUUCGCCCGCGUGCGAUAUGAAGUGAAGUCACGAAGUCGAAACGAAACACGAGAAGCAUAAAAUGAAGCAACGGAUCUCUUGGCUCUCGCAUCGAUGAAGAACGCAGC